Limulus polyphemus (Atlantic horseshoe crab) is the source of this 342-nucleotide long non-coding RNA. RefSeq lists it as uncharacterized. The record is from RefSeq and is a predicted model, not a curated record. The transcript has 3 exons. Lineage: Eukaryota; Metazoa; Arthropoda; Merostomata; Xiphosura; Limulidae.
UUCACUUAUUACUUUGAGUGAAUAUAACUAAGUUACUACAUCUGACGAAGAUGUUGACGGUAAAAGAUUCUGGCUUGUCGUUGUCCUUGAGUUAAGUAACGUAGAUCAACCCUGGAAACUGUUAGCUCUCUCAGCAUUAUAUAACUUAUUAAGUCUAAAAAAAGUCAAUGAUUUUUUAGUAGGACUGGUAGUUUGAGAGGUAGAGAAGACAACCGAGCUAUUGGUAAAUUGUCCCUACGCACCGAAAGACAAACUCAUCAGUAAAUCUGUACCAUACGGUCAUACUGGUAGAGGAUUUCGAAUUUCAAAGAUGAAGAUAAUCCUUGAAUUUAAUGGGAAUGG